Chiroxiphia lanceolata (lance-tailed manakin) is the source of this 669-nucleotide long non-coding RNA. RefSeq lists it as uncharacterized. The transcript is spliced from 3 exons. Lineage: Eukaryota; Metazoa; Chordata; Aves; Passeriformes; Pipridae. The record is from RefSeq and is a predicted model, not a curated record.
GGCAUGAGUGGUAUUUACACAUGUAUUUUCUGCUGGUUUCUGUUGGUUUUCCAGACUUGCUUUCAGAUUCCUGGUUUGAUGUGGGUCUGUCAUCCCACUGCUCUACUUGACCCUGUUAUGGACAAGCUACUUAUGGGCGUUUGAUGGAGAUUUGGGGAAAUUUUCAGAGAUACAAAUGUAAACACCCAAGUUACAUUGAUGAGAUGGAGAAGCCCAUUCUCGAUAGGAAGGAGUUAAUAGAGAACCAUCCUGGAGAAGGUUCUGUCUUGUCAUUCAUUGUAUGACAAGCUUGGAGAUGAAAGACUCGCAUGGAGAGUGGUACGUUGUGCAUUAGGAUUGGCAGAUAUCCUCUGGGAUCUGAACAGUGAAGGACUAUUUGAGAUGUGCACUCUAUGCUUGUCAAAGAGAAGUAAGUGCUGCAAUAAAAAUAGAAUAUUCAAACUCCCCUCAGCCUGGGUAGAAGGAGGACUUCACCUUUAUGCAAGAAGACCUGCUUAAUCUGAAAGUUCUCCUAGAAAGGAUUUUAAGGGCAGCCGUCCAUUUCUGUGCAGGAACAGACAUAUGUUAAAGGCUGUCAUGCUGCUGCAGAAGCAAACCAGUGAGCUCAUGGGCUGCCUCUGCCAAUGGUUAAGGUCAGCUACUGGAAAAAAUGACAAGACAGCUAUUACA